This is a non-coding RNA of Podarcis lilfordi (Lilford's wall lizard), 906 nucleotides long. The record is from the annotation of a GenBank genome assembly. Lineage: Eukaryota; Metazoa; Chordata; Lepidosauria; Squamata; Lacertidae.
UUUUAAAUUUCUGUGUGCUGGGUGGCUGGGGGAACAGCUGGGGAGGUGUUUGCAAGAAUCUGGGAGCUUGUGUGCUUUUUUUUGAAUUUUUAUGAUUUUUUGUGACCAUUGGGCCAUGUUGUUGUUUUUUGAAAAAAGUUUCUGGGUUUUAAAUUUCUGUGUGCUGGGUGGCUGGGGGAACAGCUGGGGAGGUGUUUGCAAGAAUCUGGGAGCUUGUGUGCUUUCUUUUGAAUUUUUAUGAUAUAUUGGGUCCAUUGGGCCUUGUUGUUGUUUUUUUAAAAAUGUUUCUCGGUUUUAAAUUUCUGUGUGCUGGGUGGAUGGGGGAACAGCUGGGGAGGUGUUUGCAAGAAUCUGGGAGCUUGUGUGCUUUUUUUUGAAUUUUUAUGAUUUUUGUGACCAUUGGGCCAUGUUGUUGUUUUUUCAAAAAGUUUCUGGGUUUUAAAUUUCUGUGUGCUGGGUGGCUGGGGGAACAGCUGGGGAGGUGUUUGCAAGAAUCUGGGAGCUUGUGUGCUUUUUUUUGAAUUUUUAUGAUUUUAUGUUACCAUUGGGCCAUGUUGUUUUUUUUUUAAAAAGUUUCUGGGUUUUAAAUUUCUGUGUGCUGGGUGGCUGGGGGAACAGCUGGGGAGGGGUUUGCAAGAAUCUGGGAGCUUGUGUGCUUUUUUUUGAAUUUUUAUGGUUUUCUGUAACCAUUGGGCCAUGUUGUUUUUUUUUGAAAAAGUUUCUGGGUUUUGAAUUUCUGUGUGCUGGGUGGCUGGGGGAACAGUUGAGGAGGGGUUUGCAGGAAUCUGGGAGCUUGUGUGCUUUUUUUUGAAUUUUUAUGGUUUUCUGUAACCAUUGGGCCAUGUUGUUUUUUUUUGAAAAAGUUUCUGGGUUUUGAAUUUCUGUGUGCUGGGUGGCUGGGGGAAC